GAAAAAAGUUGAUUCUAACUAGUACACUUUAUUUUGUAUAGUCUUCCCUCCAACUUUUUUUACCUUCUUCUUAAACUUUAUGUGUUAGUUAUGAUCAUUUUUGUCCUCCACCAUCUUUAAACCUUUGAUCUUCUAAACUUAAUUUAACAAAUCUUCAACAUCUUCUUCUUCUUCUUUCCCCCCACUAAAUAUUCAAGUUUCAAGCACAAUACACAGAGAGAUAUAGAGAGAGAAGUCACAUUAAGAAGAACAACAUUCAAUCAGCCAAAAUGUUCUCAACUUAUCUGUUGCUGUACAAGACAAAUGAAUGCCAAAAACUGGCUGGGAAUGAAGUCGAAUUACCCAUAAUUCGAAACUCCCAUAAAAACAAAAGAAUGACACACAUCAUAGACAAUAUAAUUAAUUUUCACCAAGGUAAGCUUUUAGGCAACCUGAGAGGUGAAAACAGUAAAAAAAAGAAUAAAGGGGAUGCAGACCGUGCAUAGUUUGAUCUGAUGGAGAAGAGAAUGCUGCUUUGUUGGUAUGGCACAAAGAUGACAUUCGCGAUAUAUGGUGGAUUUUGGAAAAUGCAGAUCGUAAAAAGCCUCUCAAAAAAACUUCGGGCCUAUGUGGCUGCUUUGCUGGAAAAACCGCGGAAAAAUUCUGGAUAUUAUAACUGGCAACAGUAUUAAGGAUGGUUGUUAUCUGUUGUAAGAUGGUUCAUGUAAAAGAGUUGUUCAAAGGCCUUGCAGAAGUGCCUUUCUGCAAGGUGGUGCUUGCAAAGGAUUGCUGAUUGCGUUGUGAGAAGGAGACUCAAUUCCGAGUGUUUUCAGUAGGAAGUGCCUCUCCUGCAAAGAUAUUACAGAUUAUAAGUGGUAUGGAGAAAGGUGCUACAGAGAAUGGCUAGUCCAGACAAGUCGAAACACAUGGCUACUCAUGCAGCGUUCGUUGCAAAUUGUGAAACAAAGAUACAGAACAUAUAGAAGUGAGUAGAAUUCCAGCCAUUUCCAAGUUGACAUUGCUAGUAAAAUGGAAAGAAGCCAGUGGUGCUCAGGAUAGCCAAAAGAAGGGCAAGCAAUUAAAAUAGAGGUCAUUGUUUGACAAAGUCAUUAGGGGAGAAGGUCACACUACAAAAGGAGGAAGUGAAGAGAAUUGCAGUUGGCAAGCGAACAGAAAUCUUGCCCUGGGGAGUAGGGACUCGCAAUGUGAGUUGAAAGAAGAGUACUAAAAGGCAGAUUAUCGUGUAUUCAUGCUUCAUUCUAUAAUUUCAGUUUCGCCUUUACACUAACCUUCUUUCAACUCUUGCAGAUCAGUUCCUCCCUAAUUGUACUGCAACAGCAGUCAGAAUGUGAUAAUCUUCUUAACCCCUCAACCAAAUUGAGCAUUUGACUCCUUUUGAUCAAGUCUUUCAGAAACAACCCCGGUAUACCAACAAGUCUAGACUAUUUAGCUGGCAAGGCUGCACACUUACGGACUGUCCCAGAUCACUAGCCUAAGAAUAUGCACACAUAGCACUUAGGACCUUUUAGAUAGUAAUUAGAUAUAGAAAUGUUGAUAUUUGUUCAUCAUGUUUUCGCUUUCACAGUCUAGCUGAGUGGACGCAGUGGAUACAAACCCAAAAGUAUAGCUAGAGGAUUAAAAGCAGCCUGUGAUACAAAUUACUCUCAUCACAGAGGAUCCCGACAUAUCACUUUACCACAGGUCCGGCAGUAGUAUAGUGCUGGAACAUAUCAAAAGACACAUGAGCUGUGUUUAGCAAAUAGCAGCUUGAAUUGGUCACAGUGAAAAUUUUGUUUCAGUAACACAAGUAUCUCACCCAAGCCAAAUAGCAAAAUAUAAUGUGUGUAUACGUGUACUAAAACAGAGAAAAUACAAGAGAAGGCUUACACUUUCUGAAAACUGUGGGCUCGGUAUUGUAGAUGCUAGAGAUUUGAAUAGAGGAGUUACUUGGAUUGGGGAAUCAUACUCUGCAAUCAAUAAGCCAAAAAGACACCAGUUUGUCACUUGCACCACUAUAAUUAAUCAGUAUGGAUUUUAGAAAGUACUACAUUGAAGACUUAUUCAAACUUUAUGCAACUUAACUACCCAAAUUAGUUACAUACAGCACGAGAACAUUUUUCUACCUCCCUGAAAGUUCAAACUCGAUUACCUUGAUCUGUUAUUGCACAGGUGAGGAGCUUGUUUUCUGGCCUGUCAACGCAAACAUUAUCUGAUAUCCUUAGUGACUGUGAUACUACUCCAACAUCAUCAUGCAUUGUGGAUAUCUCAGCCUGAGAUUGUUCUCCUUGAUCACAGCCGGAAAAGUUAGUUGAUCCUGUACUGUACUCAGAGCUGCUUGGUGACUCGUAUACAUCAGGUUGCCUACAAAAGCUCAGGAUUUCGUAUAAGACAAUUUGUAUUGAUUUAUUUAACUUAAAUUGUAAAUUCCCUUUUACGUUCAUUUGAUACCUCUGUAGUUGAAUCCCCUCAUUGCUACUCCUCAAA
Long non-coding RNA from Beta vulgaris subsp. vulgaris (sugar beet), 2463 nucleotides. RefSeq lists it as uncharacterized. The record is from RefSeq and is a predicted model, not a curated record. NCBI's taxonomy places the organism in Eukaryota, Viridiplantae, Streptophyta, Magnoliopsida, Caryophyllales, Amaranthaceae. The transcript has 3 exons.